RNAcentral lists this unclassified non-coding RNA (228 nucleotides) under Hevea brasiliensis (rubber tree). The record is from RNAcentral. Lineage: Eukaryota; Viridiplantae; Streptophyta; Magnoliopsida; Malpighiales; Euphorbiaceae.
GGUAGAAGGGGGUGAAUGGGAAAGUAAAUAAGAGUCCAUCCAUCUUAUUUGGAUAUUUUAAUGAAGGAUAGGAGGAAGAUGAAAAGUAAUUUACCUUCUCCUUGUUUGGUAAAAAGGUGGAGAAGAAAGAAGUUAUAAUUAUACAAUUAUAUGUAUACCCCUCAAUAUCAAACAGAAGAAAAGAUACACAGUUGACAAGAUAACAGCAAACAUCCUCAUCCCUUCAAC